RNAcentral lists this ribosomal RNA (369 nucleotides) under uncultured bacterium. Its description in RNAcentral is "bacterial SSU rRNA". It matches the Rfam family "Bacterial small subunit ribosomal RNA", at positions 525 to 896 of the family's 1533-position model. The record is from RNAcentral.
ACGGAGGAUCCAAGCGUUAUCCGGAUUCAUUGGGUUUAAAGGGUGCGUAGGCGGAUUGGUAAGUCAGUGGUGAAAUCCUGCAGCUUAACUGUAGAACUGCCAUUGAUACUGCCAAUCUUGAGUACAUAUGAAGCGGGCGGAAUGUGUUAUGUAGCGGUGAAAUGCUUAGAUAUGACACAGAACACCAAUUGCGAAGGCAGCUCGCUAAACUGUAACUGACGCUGAGGCACGAAAGCGUGGGGAGCAAACAGGAUUAGAUACCCUGGUAGUCCACGCUGUAAACGAUGAUUACUCGAUGUGUGCGAUACACAGUACGCGUCUUAGCGAAAGCGUUAAGUAAUCCACCUGGGGAGUACGGUCGCAAGAUUG